CAGGCUCAGAGCAUCCCAAACCCCUUGGCAUCUCCACACUCCAGCCACUGGCAAACUUGGUUGUGUGUCAACGAAGAAUGUCUCAGCAGAAGCAGAAGCAGUGCUGCCCCCCACCCCAGCA
Long non-coding RNA from Neomonachus schauinslandi (Hawaiian monk seal), 121 nucleotides. RefSeq lists it as uncharacterized. Lineage: Eukaryota; Metazoa; Chordata; Mammalia; Carnivora; Phocidae. The transcript has 2 exons. The record is from RefSeq and is a predicted model, not a curated record.